Molecule: ribosomal RNA, 315 nt
Filed under: uncultured archaeon
Lineage: Archaea
Description: bacterial SSU rRNA
Rfam family: Archaeal small subunit ribosomal RNA
Source: RNAcentral
UUAAGUCAGGCAACGAGCGAGACCCACGCCCACAGUUGCCAGCGUACUCUCCGGAGUGACGGGUACACUGUGGGGACCGCCGCUGCUAAAGCGGAGGAAGGAAUGGGCAACGGUAGGUCAGUAUGCCCCGAAUGUCCCGGGCUACACGCGAGCUACAAUGGUUGGUACAAUGGGUAUCUACCCCGAAAGGGGAUGGAAAUCUCCUAAAGCCAAUCUUAGUUCGGAUUGAGGGCUGCAACUCGCCCUCAUGGAGCUGGAAUCCGUAGUAAUCGCGUUUCAACAGAACGCGGUGAAUACGUCCCUGCUCCUUGCACA